RNAcentral lists this ribosomal RNA (483 nucleotides) under uncultured bacterium. RNAcentral's name for it is "partial 16S ribosomal RNA". It matches the Rfam family "Bacterial small subunit ribosomal RNA", at positions 28 to 523 of the family's 1533-position model. The record is from RNAcentral.
GACGAACGCUGGCGGCGUGCUUAACACAUGCAAGUCGAACGAUGAAGCUGGAGCUUGCUCCGGUGGAUUAGUGGCGAACGGGUGAGUAACACGUGAGCAAUCUGCCCUUGACUCUGGGAUAACUGCGGGAAACUGUAGCUAAUACCGGAUACGAGACCUGAAGGCAUCUUCGGGUCUGGAAAGAAUUUCGGUCAAGGAUGAGCUCGCGGCCUAUCAGCUUGUUGGUGAGGUAAUGGCGCACCAAGGCGACGACGGGUAGCCGGCCUGGGAGGGUGACCGGCCAAACUGGGACUGAGACACGGCCCAGAAUCCUACGGGAGGCAGCAGUGGGGAAUAUGGCACAAUGGGCGAAAGCCUGAUGCAGCAACGCCGCGUGAGGGAUGAAGGCCUUCGGGUUGUAAACCUCUUUUAGCAGGGAAGAAGCGAAAGUGACGGUACCUGCAGAAAAAGCACCGGCUAACUACGUGCCAGCAGCCGCCGUAA